This 253-nucleotide ribosomal RNA is filed under the name uncultured bacterium. Its description in RNAcentral is "partial 16S ribosomal RNA". It matches the Rfam family "Bacterial small subunit ribosomal RNA", at positions 524 to 776 of the family's 1533-position model. The record is from RNAcentral.
UACGUAGGGCGCAAGCGUUGUCCGGAAUUAUUGGGCGUAAAGAGCUCGUAGGCGGCCAGUUGCGUCUGCUGUGAAAUCCCGGGGCUCAACCCCGGGCGUGCAGUGGAUACGGGCUGGCUAGAGGCAGGCAGGGGAGAACGGAAUUCCCGGUGUAGCGGUGAAAUGCGCAGAUAUCAGGAGGAACACCGGUGGCGAAGGCGGGUCUCUGGGCCAUUACUGACGCUGAGGAGCGAAAGCGUGGGGAGCGAACAGG